AGGGUGUAUGGUUUUUGCUCUAGACUAAUUUAAUCUUAACUUAACACAUGGUUCUAGAAGGGUAGAAGGGAGGUAAUAGGCUUUAUAUAUUUCCUAAAAGGGGGCAUUUUUAAAGCUAACAAAUUAGGCUAUUAAUACAAUAAAAACGGCCGAUUAAUUUUCCCAACACCAGUGCGUAGUUUUGAAAAAAUUGGACACAAAGAUUCAGGGCUGGUUAAACGUGGGGGACAAAGUUGGUGCCAGCAGUCGCGGUCACACCAACCCCCAUAUUAGUUUUUUCGUGAUACAGAAAAAGUGAUAGCACAGGUAAAAUAAAACUUAUUAGGUGUAUAAUUCAUAAUCAGUAGAGUCCAAAUUUUCUCUGUUAAUCUUAAAUCUAAAAAGUCUGCAAAUGAGACCGGGAUUUGAUACCCCGUUAUUAAUGAUGUUCAAUUUAUCACGGUUAGUACAAGUUAUAAUUUGCUUAAAAGCUAUAAAACUUGGCGGCACACCAUAUUCUUUCGGGGGAACUUGACGGUUAAAUCGAUGAUCCUCGAAAUACUUUACCCCUUUUAUUCUUGCUAUACCGCCGUUGUCAGUUAAUUCUUUAAAGAGAAAAUUUUUCAUAAUAAGUGGAGAGGCUUUUCCAUUUAUGAAUUCAGGUAAACGUAGUGGUUAAAAAGGGGGCUUAGUUGAGUUACUUUAUUUAUUAGGGAUGGUUAGUUGAAAAAAUAACCUAAACUUGGACUCGAUAGUAAUGUGAGUAGUAAGAGAUGUCUAAUGAACUUGAUAUUGGCGUGCGUACAAAUUGCCCGACACCCCCGUAGAAGUUAUGGGGUAAGUCGUAACAUGGUAAUACUACCAGAAGGUAGUGUUUUUAUUAA
This is a non-coding RNA of 863 nucleotides. The stretch from base 441 to 856 matches the Rfam family "Microsporidia small subunit ribosomal RNA", at positions 752 to 1304 of the family's 1311-position model.